GAGUUUGAUCUUGGCUCAGAUUGAACGCUGGCGGCAUGCUUUACACAUGCAAGUCGAACGGCAGCGCGGGGCAACCUGGCGGCGAGUGGCGAACGGGUGAGUAAUAUAUCGGAACGUACCCAAGAGUGGGGGAUAACGUAGCGAAAGUUACGCUAAUACCGCAUACGAUCUAAGGAUGAAAGUGGGGGAUCGCAAGACCUCAUGCUCCUGGAGCGGCCGAUAUCUGAUUAGCUAGUUGGUGAGGUAAAGGCUCACCAAGGCGACGAUCAGUAGCUGGUCUGAGAGGACGACCAGCCACACUGGAACUGAGACACGGUCCAGACUCCUACGGGAGGCAGCAGUGGGGAAUUUUGGACAAUGGGCGCAAGCCUGAUCCAGCAAUGCCGCGUGAGUGAAGAAGGCCUCGGUUCG
This 411-nucleotide ribosomal RNA is filed under the name uncultured microorganism. RNAcentral's name for it is "bacterial SSU rRNA". It matches the Rfam family "Bacterial small subunit ribosomal RNA", at positions 9 to 425 of the family's 1533-position model. The record is from RNAcentral.